RNAcentral lists this non-coding RNA (28 nucleotides) under Homo sapiens (human). The record is from RNAcentral. Lineage: Eukaryota; Metazoa; Chordata; Mammalia; Primates; Hominidae.
AGAUCAAGGUGCUGGUAGAUUGAGUGUC